UAUAUCUCCAUUCUUGUUAUCGUGUAUUCUUCCCCUGACUCAUAUUUUCUGCUCCCUCAUGUCCUCGGCAUCCCUCUUCCUCUCUCCUUCUCAUUCUCCUAGCUCCUUCCCCCCCAACAGAGCACUUUCAAAGAAAAGUAGGUUCUAUGCAAUGGGAGUUGUGGUAGUGGUAGAAUUUUCCCAUGUUUUCUUCCUGAGUUGAAAUUGAGUCCUGGCUUCUCAAUUCCCACAUGCUACAUGCCACAAGUAGGCCAUUAGUCAUGUUCAGUCAUGAUGUGAGGGGGGGGACUUCUGGGUUCUCUGUCUCCUUACUUGUGAUUGUGAUGAAGGAUGGAUGACAAAAACAUUGUGUAGUGGCCUUGGGAGAUGGCUCAGUUAGAAACGUGCUUGCCUUGGAAGCAUGAGAACCUGAGUUUAUUCCUAGAACUGAUGUGGGAAAUAUCCAGGCAUAGUGGUACACACUGGUAAUUCAGGUGCAGGGGAGGCAGAGACGGGCAGAUCCCUGGGGCUCACUAACUAUCCAACUUAGCUUACUUGCCAAGUUCCUUGCCAUCCAGAGACACUGUCCAAGAAGGGAGGGAUGGAGGGAGAGAAGAAGGAAAGGAAAGAAGGAUGGAGGGAGAGAGGGAGGGAGGGGAGAAUGUUACCUGAUAGAUGACACCUGAGGCUGUCCUCUGACCUCCACAAAAUGGUCACUCAUAUGCACAUGUGUCUGCACACAUGUAUGUACCCCUACACAUGAAUGUACAAAAGAAAAUUCUAUAAUGAUAGCGGGAUGAAUGUCCUAUCCAAUCACUAAUGCUCUAGAGCAAAACAAGAAAAAAAACAUGGAAAGAAAAGUUUAAAAGGAAACAGCAUCUCUCUCCAAUUGACAAGCUAUGCUCUUCUCUGAAGUCCCCUGUGAUGUGUUGGCAAACAGGCAGAUAGGAAGGAUCUGAAGGAUUUAUGCCUCUGAGACAUUGAGCUACCUGAAUAGGAGCUGUGGGAGAACCAGGCUUGUGCCUUCCUCCAAUUGAUGCCUAGAAAAGCUUUCCACAUGGCCUUGGGCUGGUUAACCCAGAGAUCUGCAACAGCUUCCCUCUUCCAAGCUAAACACUGGAUUCUGAGCUAUUAACUCCAACUAAAGAAACUGCCUUGAGGAAUCCAAGGCAGAAUGAAAUGUACAAAGGAAAACACCUUUAAAAGCAGCAUGCAAAUAACAGUGUAGGAUUUAGGAAAGGUUCCUAUUUGAAAGGUAUUUAUGCGUUUAUAAGAUUCUUAUAAAAUCAGUCCUCUUGAUAUGUCUGUCAUAAGAGGCCAUGUUGAAGGUAAUAAAGAUAUGAAAAUGGAUGGUUUAUUGAUUGAUUUAGUUAAAUUUACUGAUGGAUGGACAAGUACAGUGACAUUAAGUCAUCUCCAUGGCCUCACAGAGAAAACAAAGAUGAUGGGAUAUCAGAGUCUCAAUUUCAUAUUGCUAGCUGAUAUGGAGGAUAGAUGACAAGAAAAUAAAUUUCAAACUGUGUUGUGACCUGCCACAAGGAUAGCCCUUUGCCCAUAAAGCAUUCUUUCUACCACUGGAAAUUUCUUCAUGAAACUUGGGAAACCAUCAUAUAGAAGGUGUUAUGGACCACAUGUUUGUGUUCCUCAAGAUAUCAAAGAUUGUCACCCUCAUCCAUUCAGUGGAGAGCCAAUGAAAAGAUAGGUGUAGGGCUGAAGAAUUGGUUCAGCCAUUAAGAGCACUGUUGCUCUUGUAGAUGACCUGAAUUUGAUUCCUAUAUUGCAGCUCAUAAUCAUCUGUAACUCCUCUUCUGGCCAAUGUGGGUACCUAGCGUGCACAUAUGCACAUACAUACAUACAUACAUACAUACAUACAUACAACACACACAUAAAAUGAAUUUUAAAAGAAAAUAAUGUAAGGAAGGAAGAAAAAGAAAAUGGAGGAAUAAGGAUAGGUGUCAGCAAAGCAGGAAGUAGUUUGUAGGGAGAGAUCUGUACGUUUGGGUGUGGCCACAGGUGCAUACUGGGAUGUGGAAUAAAGAUCUGAGGAGAGGGGACUCACCCUUUUCUCGGGGUUCUAGUCAGAUCUCAGAGUGCUGCUGAGACUGGAUUUUCGGAGCGCUAUCUGGUUAUAGGUUUCUCAUGUAAGUGAUCUCCCUUUUAAUAAAUAACCAACUAUACCCUUAUCCCAUGUACGGUUCGUUUCUGAGACAGUAGUUUUCAAACCCAUAAUGUGUGAAUUUGAUACUAGCUUCCAAAUAAACCAGUGCUCUGAUCUGAGACACCUAUGUUCCAGAUUGUGAGAGAUAAAUGCUGUUUGUAGCGUCCUGCUAGGGCUUUGUGUAACAGCCAUCCAAGCUGUCUAAAACAGAACUACUUAAAGAAGGGGUGUGAGUAUGGAUUGAAUUCCCUCAAUAGAAUCCAGAGUUACUAGUUAUCCUGCAUUUCUCUGAGCUUUCAAUUGAGUCUUAUAAACUCUCCAUUGGAUGUUAGACUGCACCUAAGAGACACUGGGUGACUUGGUGUUCCCAUACUUUUGAGCAGCUCUAGGGGGUGGCAGUUGUCCUUCAUAAAAUGACUAGGCCAGUCAUGAUGGUUGUGCAGACAUGGUAGAGAUGUGGUACAAAAGUAUUUGGGGAAGUGCUUCCUUCAUGUAGGACAUGCUUUUGUAUUACUGAGUUAUUAGAGUGCAGUUGGAACAGACUAAGUCUAAGAUGGUGCCCACACAUUCCCAACUCCUGGCAAGCAUGUCCUUGUAUGUUGUCUUCCCUUUGUAUGUGUGUUGAAAGAAGAACUAUGACUUGUUUCUAAUCUGGAGUUUAUUGCAAAGGUGAUGAGAGUUCACUUCCUUUCUAGAUGUAAAUUGUGUGUAGUGUGUACAUAUUCUCUAUUGCCCUCUAAGCUUUUAUAUUUGAUGUUUGCAAGGCCCAUCUGGCAAGAGCAUGAGGGCAGCUAUUUAGCCAGUGAGUUCAACACACUUAAGAAACUAAAUCAUGUGCAUCUGUUACUUUUAUGUUGCUGUGACCAAAUUCUCCAACAUAAACAACACAAAGAAGGAAAGUUUAUUCUGGCUCACACUCCCUAAGAGUUCAGGCUACCAUGGGGGCUUGGUGAAGCAUCUCAGUUCACAUCAUGGCAGGUGAGAAAGCCAAGACAGUGAUAGGCAGGGCCCAAGGGUAAUAUUUCUCCAAGAAUCUGCCUCCAGUGACCAGCUUCUUCCAGGAAGACUCUACCUCCCAAAGAUUCCAGAACCUUCUACCAGCUGGAGGUCAACUGUUCAAAAUAUAAGCCUAUAGGGAGUCAGGGCAUUUCAGACUCAAAGGAUAAGUUCUGCCAACAGUCAUGUGAACUUUGACAUGGAACCCUCCCCAUGAAGCCUUCAGACAAUACCUUGACUUUGACUCAGCCAAUGGCUGGCCUUAGCAAAGAACAUCACUAAGCUACCUCUAGACACUGAACUGUAGCCAUAAAGCAGCCAGUAUGCUACACAACCAUAGGUAGCUAAUAUGUCAGUCUACAGUACUUAUAUUUAGAUCAUUUUAAAAAUACUCAGAGCUAUUCCAAAUACCCAGAGAGUUUCUUACCAAGAGGACCUCUAAGUUAUUAUCUCCCAGAAUGAAGUGUUUGUUCCAAAAACAAACAAAAAAACCUCAUUUAUCCUCAGCACAGUGAUUUCUCAGCCCUGGAUGCUCAUCACCCCCAUGCAGAAGGUAUUGUCUUAUUCUAGGUCUAGAAGCUAGGCCCCUAAGUUGGUUAGGGAAGCUCUUCUGUUUGCAGCUCCUAGGUGUCCCCAGUGGGCAGCCAGGGUGGAGAUCCCCUCACAUAGGGUCAUAUUACAUCAUUGUCUGGCACUUUGCUGGUGGCAGUUUUGUCCUCUUUUCCUGUGCUUAAAGGUCUGGAAAUGCUGACUUCCACUCCCAGGGUGCCCAGCCUCACAAUUAAGACAUGAUUUUAAUAAAAAGCUCUUUUUCUGUGUCUGGUUUAAAUUUUCCAUUUUAUUGGACAGGAAGACACAAAAUGCCAGGCCAUGUGGCUCAUGCCCAGCCAUCUGGCAACUAGAGAUUCGUCUCACAGGGACAGAGGAUACAGCCAACUCAUGAACCCUUAAUGGGAAGCAGAAGUCAUUGAAAAAUUCAGAUAAUGGAAGUUUCAUCUCACUCCCUUUUAGGGCCUCUCCCAUAUCCCUUAGUAAAAGCCAAAGAACCCCUCAGAUAAACCAACUAGGCUUUUACCCCUUCACCUUGUGAGGUCUCUGGUGGCAACACCAACCAGCUUUAGAGAUGUCAAGGGAACAACAGCAGGAAGCAGGUUGUGAGAAGGAAAAACAACAGCUUUUGAAGCCCAUCUCUACCCUGAGGAAAAAAAAUAGUGUCCCAAGACUUCUCAACAACUACUUAUCUCAAAACUGUAAACAUGUAAGGAACUAUAGCAGUUUCUAUGCAGAUUAAGCAUCAUGUACUUGAGACAGUUUGAAACAUAAGUGGGAUUUUUCUCAGUGAUGGACAAAGAGAGACCAAAGGAAAGGGGGUAGAAAAUAAAUGAUACAGUCAAAGACAUUGGGUUCUGGGUGAAUUGAAUGGGCUAUGGCUUAGGGUGAGGAAGGAUAUUGAGGGUGAGAUGACUAGUCUUGAUUGUCAACUUAUUUAGAUUUAGAAGCCAGAUGGAAACAUACCUCCGGUUGUGUCUGUAAGGGAGUUUUUACAUUAGGUUAAUUGAGGUGGAACGAGAGCCCCCACCUGUGGAUGGUAGUGUUCUGUGGGCUAGGGGUCUGAACUAAAUAAAAAGUGUGUGAUGCACCUGAAGUCAUCACUCUGCCUCCCAAUUGUGGAUGCAGUGUGACCAGCUGCCUCCGGCUCCUGCUGCUAUACCUUCCCUGGCAUGGUGGGCUGUACCCCUGAACUGCCAUGCCUUCCCUGGCAUACUGGGAUAUACCUCUGAACUGCCAUGCCUUCCCCGGAAUGGUGGGCUGUACCCCUGAACUGUCAUGCCUUCUCUGGUAUGAUGGGCAGUACCCUCAAACUGUGAGCCAGGAUAAACCUGUACUCCCUUUAGUUGCUUUUGUCAAGUAUUUUAUAACAGCAAUAAAGAAAAUGACAAAUACAGAGAGAGAUAGCAGGAGGAAAUGAGCAGAUUAUUUUUCAUUAUAUAUAUAUAUACAUAUAUAUAAUUUUCAUUAUAUAUAUAUAUGUAAAAUUCUGGCAUUGAGGAUGAUCCUGGAACUCCACGCAUAACUACCACAGGGUCACACCUAGAUUGUAUUGAUGGAUGUUAGUUAUAGGGAUCAGUCCGACGUUUACCAGUUGAAGCAUCUUUUUCGCCUGUGAAACCCCAUGACCGACCAUACAUUUGGAUAACUUAUUUGGCCCUGAUUCCUUUUACAGCUAACUUGCUCACUUUGUCUCUUGAAGUUCAAUACACUAUGUGUUUUCUGUGCCAUAAGGAGAAUUUCCCACAGUCAUCUCUGAGUGGAAGAUCAGAGGAUGCCUACUUCUCUGCUUCCCAGGGAUGCCAGUAUUCAACACUUUCAAAAGGAAAUGUACUCCAGAUCUUAUAUAAAAAUAAAAUAAAAACACAUUUUUAAUGAAUUAGUCUUGAGUAAAAAUUUAGCUAUUUAGUAACACUAAUAUUUUUUGAAGAUUUAUUGAUUUUUAUUUUAUUGGUAUGGGAGUUUUUCUUGCAUGUAUAUCUGUGAAAUAUAUGUAUGCAGUGCCCAUGGAAGCCAAAAGAGAGUCUCAGAUCCCAUGGAACUGGAGUUACUGAUGUUUGUGAGCUGCUACGUGGGUGCUGGGAAUUGAACUCAGAUUCUCUGAAAGAGAAACCAGUGCUCUUAACUGCUGAGCCACCCCUCCAGCCCCUGACAUUAGCUGCAUUCCACUAUUUCCAGUACAGAAGAAAGUUCUAUUGGAAACCACUGGUCUAGGUUUGCAUAACUACACAUAUAAACAUUUUAUCAAUGGCAGUUUUGUUUCAUUAGAAUUUGUAAGUUUAAGUAUUGGUUGGAGAAAGCCAGUAUAGUCAUUUCACAGUAGUCAGGGAGCUAGGAAGAUGGAGUGAAAAAGGAAGAAAAAAGUCUUGGUGAUAAGUUUUGAAUCAUGUUAAGUGUUUCUUUUUGAUAAUUUCAUAAAUGUAGGAGAUAAAUGUGGGAACAUGUAGUUUUGGCCAUCUGCUGCCUGAGCGCAGUAGCCUGGACUAAAACCCAGUCCUCACAGGCUAAGGAGGGCCUGAGAAGUAGAAGGUAGAAGUCAUCACUUAUGGACAUAUAGAGUUUUCACUGGGGAUUAAAGGGCAGAACACUGUUGUGCUUGGGGCUGGCAUGUUUCUUUCUGGCUUUUGUCAUGGUGUGAAUAGGUCUGGGAAUGCUUGGAAGAAGAACAAGAGUCCCCAAUGAUAAAGAUCUACGUUUAAAGAAGAGAGUGUUGGAAUCAGAUGUUUUAGUCUGUUUUCUGUUGCUAUAACAAAAUACCUGAGGUGGUGAUUCAUUAAUAGAGAAUUAUUUGUCACAUGGUCUGGAGACUAGAAAGCCUAAGGGCAUGGUGCUGUUUAUCUAGUGGCCAUCAUAACAUGGUAGAUUGAGCGACCUAAUAGUACCAGCUCAGGCCUCUUUCUUCCUGUAUAGCUGCUAAUACCAUCAUGGGAGGGCACUCUCUUCUCUUUAACUCCUAAUUACCUCCUAAAAGUACUGCCUUCAACACAUGAAUCUGAGAGAGUUUCCAGCACAUAUGAUGUCAUCACAGGGUAAGGGAAUCUUUCAGAUGCUGCAUGGAGCAGUAGAGGCAGGCCUCUGCUGGGUGGUGGGAGAAGAGGAGGAUGGCAAACCCACUAAGUGUGAGUGAAGGUAAGAGAUUCCAGGGAACACACUGGUGAUGGGUUGCAUUUUCUUUAUAGUUUGAAGGAACAGCCAACUACUCUGUGUGGAAGAAAGGGAGGUACUUAGAAAGUUUUGAAAAAGCAAAAGAUUUAUGGCAGAUAGAAAAAGGGCCAAAGAGUCAUAUGAUGAUCAAUAAGAAAAUUAUAUGCAAUCCUACCAGAUAGUCUCUUUCCAACAAAGUGGAUUAUGUCAUAUUCAUCUACAAAAUUAUUGAGUUUUGACUUUCGUGCAUAUGUGUAGCGCAUAUGUACAUGUGUACUAUGACUGACUGCAGUCACUUCUCCCUCAUUUCUCCUCUUGUCUGAUAAACUUCCUUAUUGUGACACACAUUGAACCUUUAUGGUAAAUGUUGAUAAUAAAAAGUAGAAGGGACAAGAAGGGAUUAAACAAGUAUCAGAGCUGUGUUGCACAUCUCUGAUGACAGUCCCAGUCAUCCUGCUAAUCUCAGGGCAGGAGAUCUGAUUGUCCCGUUUACAGACGAGCAGGUACAGAGCAAAGUGAAGGUAGAAUUAAGUGCUUGUUUAACCACCUGCACAGUUGUGUUCCUUAGGCUGUUUAUUUCUUGAAACCUCGGGUUCCUGUUGGAGCCUAGGAAUUAAGCUUUCUACUUUAUAAAAUUAUUAAUAACAUCAAAUGAGAUCAUCUGUGAGAAAGAGCCUAUUACUGGGGUGCUUUAGUGUUGUAGGGGAGAGAUGUGGAUCAGCCCAGGCUGGCCUCAAACCUAUGGGUCUCCUGUGCUCCAGAUGCAAGGGUUCCAGUAACUUCUGAUUCCAGUGGGGUUCAUAAUGUGCAAUGUAGCUGGUGUUUAAAACAAGUGUUUUAAAGGGGAGUAAACAGUACAGCAGAGGCAGUGUCCUGAAUGGGAAAGCCACCAAAGACGCUGACUCUCAACAUACUUUUGAGCUAAUGAAGCCUCAUUCCCACACUCACUGCUGUCCACACCUUGCCAGUGGGGCAAAUGACAUUCCUGGGGACUGUCAUUUGAAGAUUUGAGAGUCUUCCUGCUUCUUGCUUACUGUGUGAUUUUGUCUUCUGGUACCUUGAAGGGAAAUGAUACAGUAGCCCGAAUUUCACAGAAGGUACCAGAAGAGACUGGAGGAAGAGUGUCAUGUUCUGAGUGAUGCCUGGAGUCAUCCUUUUAUGGAACAUUAAACAUUUCUCUCAGAUGAGUAACAGGUGGCAAGGGCUGUGGAAAGAUGACAAGGCAGAAGAUUAUGGGACCUAGGGAAGUCUCUUUUAGCAAGACAUCGGUAUGUGUCUAAAGACAUUGAUUAAUGAUACCUCCUGUCCCCUGUGAGCAGCAGAUCAGGAGCACAGGUGUGCUGAGAGCUGGGAACCCAGGGGGAGUGAGACUAAGGUCACAUCCAUCAGGGAAUGGCAGGGAGAACAGGCUUGAUCAGUCCUCAAUGUCCCAGGGUCACUCCCAAAUGUCUCCCCAAAGGCUUGAAAUCAUUUUUCCAGGCUGAAGCUGGAAAUCAUGAAACCUCCCAGAUCCAAAGACAUGCUCAUUGUCUCACUGCUGUUAGAAUCACUGCUCAUGUUUAUUGGAAAAACAGAACAUAGCACAUCUUGGCUUCCACAGUGCUCUGAGUCCUGGCUCUGUCACCUUUAAGCUUGUCAUUCUCUUGGGAGGUAACAAAACUGCUUUAAUUAAAUGUUCCCCCAGGAGAAUUAGCAAGAAGGCACUCCUGUGUAGCAAAUCAUGAAUAGCACUGCUAAAGGGGCUAAGGGGUGAGGGUGGAGGAAGAUUGGUCCCAGAAUAGACGUUCCUAUCAUGCCCAGUCUAGCCAAAGGCACGAUACUCAUACAAUACAAGGUACUUCUCAUAGAGAUGCCUGGACUUCCUAAAAGCAGAAAGGUAGCAAUGUGACAGUAAUGGCCAUUUUAUCAGCCUCGUGUGUCUGGAGUGGGCUUUGGGUGGUUGACAUUGUAGAGCCAAAGGAUUCUUUUUGUUGGUGGGACAGCAUGGAAGGGCAUUUGGUCUGGAGGGCCACCAGCAGGAAAGACAAAGCAGCAGCCACUCAGCUGACUUCGGAAUAACACAGCUGAGAUAUGGUCAGCCUUGGCAGUGGUAAGGUCAGUGAGAGUGCUCUUAUUGAACUGCCUUGAAGUUUCCUUUGCAAAGAAAACCUUUUGUUAAAGACUUGUUUAAAAGAAAGUGCACCAUUGCGCAAGUAUUUCUAUCAGGGUACAUAAAGACCUUUUGUGGGGAACCUGGGCAAAGACCAUGUGUGUUUCCCAAUAGGGCUUGGAGGUUGUUGGAAUACCUAGACAACGCCCUUUAGGAGCCCGGGUGGGAACACGGCCUUUACCGAGUCCCACCACGCAGGGAGAUGCAUUUGCAGAGCAGACAAUCUCAGUGUUUUGGGGUCAUUGACCUUGAACUCAUUUGGGAACAAGGGUUGAAACCAUCUUUAAAUGCCCAUCAAAGAAAAUCUGGUUUUUUAACAGUAGGCCUGAGGGUGCAGCUCAAUGGUAGAGACUUGCCUGGCAAGCAUAAGUUGCUAGUUUGACUCCCAGAAUCAUGAAACAUGGUGUGUCCACAAAAGCAAUUGCUCUUUAGAUUAAAACAACCUGUAGGUGUCAUGUCAGCCCUAGGGCGUUGCAGUUGGAAAACUGAUACAAUUUAUCUUUACCAAUUACCAGCUGCCUCAGCUCCCUGCUCAGAACUCCUUAAGUCUUAACAAGCUUUGGCUGUGAGGGAAAUACUAACUGGAGUGCGAGUCCCUGCAUAUUUGCAUGUAGGCGCCCUGCAUCUAAACCCAUGAGCAAAAGCAGCAGAACAUUCCGGAAUGUUCUCUACAACUGUGGCUGUAUGUGCUCUGCUCUGGUUGCUGAGACUCAGAGACUCACUUCUGAAAUAAAAGCAGAGUCCCGUGAUAUCUUUGUGAAUGUUCUCUUCUAGAAUGUUCUCUUCACGAAGAAGAGACUCUCUAAAGGUUAAGGGCCAGACCCAAGAUGGCCCAGAACUCAGGAUCCUACUACCUCUGGGAUUUAAGGUGUGGCAACAGGACAGAAAAAGGGCAUGCCACACAUAGGGUCUGAAGCCGAGUAGCCAGUAAGGCCAGCACACAAUAGAAAAGAAAGUAAGUUUUGCCAUUUUACCCAGUUAGACUCUACCAAAUGCCUAACGGGUAUCUCCUACAAUGUUUGAAGUAAGUGUGUGUACAGAACCGGCGUUUACUCUCUCAGUCCGCUGGGACAGGCAAGGCAGGCAUCCACCUGCACCUGCUACCCGUGCAGGUAGGGGGCGCGCGCGGGCUCCCGGCCCAGGGCGUUGAUGUGCUGCUGAGCACCUGCGCCUGCCAACUUCUCGUUGAGUUUUUGGUUGACCAGCUCCAGGUGGCGGCUGUUCUUCCGCGCCUGCCUCAGAGACCUCUUGACUUUCUUCACCCGCUCACGGAGCUGCCUGUUGCGUUUCUCCAGGGUGGCCACCUUCUGCUGCAGCUUCUUGACGUGGUCCUCUUCCUCAAACAGGGCCUUCUGCACCGAGGAGCACAUGAGCUGGGGGCAGAAACAGCGCAGAGGGAGAGGCAGCACAGACAACAGAAGACAGACAACUGGGAUUCCAUCGAAUGAAACAGCUUCCACAGAGCAAAGGGAGGCAAUCGACAGCAUGAAGAGGUAACUCCCAGGAGGGGAGAGUCUGCAAACCAUGCACCUGAAGCAAGGGCAAUAUUCAAGCUAGGUGAUGAGAAAGUAAGACCCGAACAGCCCUCUCUCAGUGGAGAACACAGACAUGGGCAAUGUAUAAGAAAAAAUGCUCAAUGUCACUACUCAUAAGGGGAAUGGAAUUAAACUAAUAUGAGAGCUCUCCUCACACUUGGUUGUUACCAAGAAGACAAGAGGCACACACAUGCACCAAUGAGGAAAAGGGAGCCUGUGUCACUGUUAGGAUAGUAACCCAAACUAACUGUGAUAGUCACUUGUGGCAACAUGAUGUACUUAGAGGACAAUAUGUUAAGUAAAAUAAGCCAGGCAGAAAGAGACAAAUGCCACGUGAUCACAGUCAUACUGGAAAUAUAAAAAAGCAGAAUUCACUGAAGCAGACUAAAAUGGCAGCUAUCAAAUAUUGAGACUGAGGGUACACUGUUCAACAGACAUGAAAAUCGGUUAGAAAAGAAUGAUUUAAAGAGUCUAUUGUACACCACAGUGACUGCAAUUUAUCACAAUAUAUUACACAUUUAAAAUUUUCAGAAAGAGGCCAGGCAUAGUAGUGCACACUGUUAACCCCAGCACUCAGGAGACAGAGGCAGGUAGAUCUCGGAGUCUGAGGCCAGCCUGGUCUAUAGAAUGAGUUCCAAGACAGCCAGGGCUACACAGAGAAACCCUGUCUUGGAAAAAAAAAUCAAACCAAAUUGCAGAGAAUAGGUUUUAAAUGUUCUCACCACAAAAAAAAGAAUGUGAGGCAAUAUAUAUUAAUUACUGAUUUAGAUAUUAUAUAAUAUAUACAUAUAGAUGAAGAUAAGUUGUAAACAAUAAAUAUAAAUUUUAGUAGUCAAUUCAGUUGCAAGGCCAUCUACUAGCAGACUACGAACCCAAACAAUUCUAUAUAGCAUGUGGCAAAGUCAUGGCUAUCAUUAAAACCAUUGUACAUCUAAGGGCUUCUGUCUGCUUACAGGGAAAAUGUCAUGGCUAACUACUAUAUAAGCUAAAACAUUACAGAAUUUUGAAGGGCAGAAUAGUAGUUUUCCACACACUGUCUGGUGUGGUGGUUCAUUAAUGUAAUUGCAAUGCUCAGGAGGCUGAGGCAAGAACAUCAUGCAUAUGAGGUCAGCCUGGGCUUCAUAGCAGGAUGCUGUCGUCCCCCCCCAAAAAAUAACCAAAGGUGGGGUGGAGGAAGGGAGAUAUAAAGGCAGGAAACAGAAAGGAGAGAAGAGAGGCAAGUAGAAUGAAAUAGACAAAAUUGCUAUCCUAACAGAGUACUGCCCCAGUCAUUUGUUUCACAAGGGUAAAUGGAGAAGGCAGCAGCUGUACAGAAAGGUACACCCAAAUGGGAGAAGGUCUAAAUGAUGGAAACAGACCAUGAACCAGACUAGGAAUACCACUGGUACAGGUCCUAAGUGCUCCGAGAUACAUGUGAGAGUCAACUAUGCUCUUCCAAUAUGGAGGCCUCCAAUUUGACUAGGGCAGGGACGGUUCCCAGAGUCGCACCAUAGUAAUGACAAGGAGUAAGUUCCCCCUUGUUCACUAUACAUGUUUCUCAGUUUCUAGUUGGCUUAGGCUUUCAGGGGGCCCUGACCAAGGUCUCAUAUCCUCAAGGCCUAUUACCCUCUAGCUCUAGCCCACCCUACCCCCAAGUUGUGAGAUGCAAAAGACACUAGAGUACAAAAUCUCUGUGACCAUGAAUGGGUAAAUGGGGAUUAUGGCCUCUGUGGCAGGAGAGGCUGAGGAAAAAACAUCAGAGUUACCCAGAAACUAGGCAGCAUUUCAGAAAGAUGACCAAGUGUGAUUAAUGGCCCCUUUAGUGGUAGUAGAUAAGGGGUGAUGGUCAGAGCAUCACCCAAAAUAGCCAAGCCACCACAAUGAAGAGCUCAUCCCAGGCCAACAAUAUGGCUUAAAAAAAGGUGCUUGCUGCCAAGCUGAUGAACUGAGUCCAACCCCCAGGAUCCACUUGGUAGAAAGAUCUCUACACACACACAUCAUGGCAUGUGACCCCAUGCUCACCCCCACCCCACUAAAUAAAAAAGUAAAUGUAAAAACUGCAUCUUUUUUUUAAAGCUCAUCCCAUUAAGAACACAGGACCAAAAUCAUAAGCUUCCUGUCUGGAGUUUUCAUUUAUAAUACCGGCUCUUUCUGAACCCGGUCCAGCUGGUUGGCGUGUCCCGAGCAAAGCAUAACUCACAGAGCAGAACACAGGUCAGAGGUUUCCACUGCCCUGCUGGCAGGAGCUGCCCACAUUCCUUCCCUCCUGUUUUUGCUCUUAAAAUGUUUUUUUCACUGUUGUUAUCUCCAGGAGCAGAGGGAAUGGAACCAACUGAAGGUAGGCUAAUGUAGUGGAAUGUGGAAAUCAUACAUGUGGCUGUUUUCUCCACCUAAAUUCAAGCUCACACCACCCAUGAAAAGGCAGGGGAUGGGUGAGGUGGCAUGGAAAGAGAAUUACUCCCCAAGGGGAACAUGAGGUACUGGGAAGCUGAGGGUGUGGAGCAGAGGACUGGUAGAGUUCAGGGUAUGAGUCAUAGUAGAGACAGGAGCUGAGCUCCCAUUCAAGAAGACCCAGAUGAGGCAGUACCCCCAGGCCAACAUGGCACCCCAUCCUUCUACAGAGAAAGAAGGGAUGGGAGAAUUAGGUUCUUCCCAAUACAGAGAAUAAACAAAGUGAUUUGUAACUGUUCUCCAUGGCAGCCCAGGAAAGUCCAUGCAUGUCAUAUACAAUGCUUUGCUUCCACCCUCCUUGUCCCAGAUGUCCAUCACAAGUUCCAAUGAGAACACUCUCUUGCCUGCUGCUGAAACGGUAGGGCUAACCUUAGGGAAUGAGAUCUGAUUUCUGCCCGGCAUGUGCCCCUUCAAUGCAUUGGUAUCAGAGUGAGUACAGCUCCAUUGUGUCCUCUCCACUUCCUGUGCAUAAGGAAGCCUCUUGGAGGCUGACACUAGGUAAGGGAUAGAAGAAGAGGAUGGCUUAGUAGAGUGGAGGCAGAAUAACAAUAAAUGUCCACAAUGGGUAAAUAAAGAAAAUGUGGUCUGUAUAUACCACAAUUAGUCAGCCUUUACAAAAGGACAUCUUGUCACCUGUUAUACAAGCAUGGAUCUUGCAGACAUUAUGCAAAGUAACAUAAGUCAAUCACAAAAGACAAAGACUCGGUUGGUGAGCUGGCUCAUCAGAAAAAGACGCUUGCUGCCAAGAUUAAGGACCCGAGUUUGGUCCCCAAAAUUCACAUACCAUCUCAUGAAGUCACAAACCUCUUAGAAACAGUGUUUCAUCCUUACAUGUCAUGAAACAAAUGAGCCUGAGGUGCCUGAGAUGGAGGAAUUUCCAGAAGUUGAAAUCUGGCAAGUCUGGGUAUAAUCUCAGAGGGGAGGGGGAACCAAAAAGAGUCACUGCCACCUUAAGCAAUGAAAAUAAAGCAACUUCCUCUUGGAUUAGUUUGACCAAAAGCAAACACAUAUUUAAAUUCUCCAUUUCUCUCCCUGUCUCUCUGCCUACUGGCCUGUCUAUCUCCAUUGUUUCUAAACUGUCUGUCCCUGAUGCCUGGAGUGUUCACCUGUGUGUGUGUGGUUCCUGCACCUAACAAAGAGCUUUGCUCUGUAUUUCUUGAACAACACAGAAAACACGGGGUGGAAAAGAAAUAAGGAUACUUAUAAAUCUUUCAGAGAGUUUUAUGAGGAAAGUACUUACUUUGCUGACCUGGAACAGCAAACAAAACCACAAUCAGAUGCUACCAUCCUAUAUCACACGUUAAGUCCACCAUAUACAGAAUCGUUGCUCUAUACUGUGUCUUUUAACCUGGUCACUGUUUCAGCAAGUAUCAACACACACAAUUCUGACAAGGGCAUUGGAGAGUACAUAAUUUAAGAUGAAAGGUAUACAUUUAGCUUAGGUUAUAAAAGCAGACCACAUGGGAAAUAUACAGCAUAGUAAGGUUCAUUACAUUGUUCUCUGAAAGGCAGGCUGAACUUAAACAUGAGAAGUUCACAGUCUUAAGUAACUUCCAGGCAUGUUAUGAACUUAGCUGCAAAGUUCAGUCUUUUUAGAGUCAAGAGAGAUUUUCAAGAAACUAUCACCACAGACAAAACAUCCUUGGGGGCUCUUCUUCCAUUCCUGUUGGGGAGGGGGCAGGGUGUCCUCUGGAUAGUCCCUUUCCUAAGUUUAUAUUAGGGUUGUGAGUUUAGAUCAAAACAGCCAUCCUUUCUUCCCAAGCCCCCCCUGAUCCAACAGCAAGCAGGGGCUACUCCUUUCAAUAAACAUUCUCCCAACAGGGUCUUCUCAGCUCUCUCCAUCUCAGAGGACUUAAGGAAGGUGCACUUGCCAUGCAUCACACCCAACCCCCACCCUCCCCAAAAGCACACCUUACAUGAAAAUGAGCCGAGGCUCAUCUCCAGGCUUGUCCCAAGCCCAAGCUCUGCAUGGGCAGAACAUUCUAGAGUUCUGCUCAGCCUAACUCUACCUGCCAGACAUUAAUUUAGCCUCAUGAGUUUCAGAAGUCCUCUAGAAAAGAGGAAAUUCAAAAGCAGAAAUCAAUCCACCCCUGCUGAUUUUCCAACUAGAUGAGGGGCAGACGAAUCAACAUGGAGCCAGCCAAUCCUCCUACCAUCUCAGAACUAGUAAGCUCCCUUUCCCACAGAUGGGCAAGCUUGCAGAAGUGGCUCUCAAUAGUCUAGUGUCCAGCAGCCAGGAAUCAAGUGGACGAAUCUCACUAACCAUUUUUCUUAUCACACAUUAGCAUGGAAGUUCUCCCCAGAAGCGUAUGCAAUUAACUAGUAAUUUUUACAGAAAGAACCCAAUGCAUAUAGCAUUGACCAUCCUUCAGCCAUGCUAACAAGAGUGAACUAAUCCACUCCCAUCUGUAGGUGUUAAAAUCCAGUCUCCCCUGGUUUCAAUGAGUUGGAGCUAGCCAGGCUAGGAAUCAGGUCAUAGCUCAGGCUCCCAAAGUCUCCAGUCCCUCAGUCCAUGACACUGUCUUCAGAACAGGAGUAGCCCAUCCCAACAGUAACAUUUUUGUAUUUUGUCUCUUAACUUGUGUGACUCCUGGAUCAGAACCCAGAUACUUGGGCAAUGUCAGCCCUGCUCACAACUGGAGCUGAGCACAGCAGCCCAGGUCUGGCAGGAAGCAACCUGUGCAUCUCUGAGCAUCUGGCUCCUGCAGUAUUUGUCCUUGAAUAGGGCACAGUGCUGGGGCUGGCAAGACGGCUCUGCAGGUAAAGGAACUUGGCACUAAGCCCAAUGACCUGAGUUUGAUCCAGAACCCACACAGUGGAAGGAGAGAACUGAGUCCCACAAAUUGUCCUAGCACAUGCAUACACAAAUUAAAUGUAAUAAAGUCUCUUACAAGGAGCACUGGAGUCAUGGAAGAGUGUGUGGGCUGGCAAAGGAAGGGGCUGAUAUGAGGAAUGGGAUGGUCCAGAAUUCUAAGACACAGGAGGACAGCAUCUUGUGGAGUGUGUUUUCUACAUCUGGCCCCUGGGCUUACUUUCAUUCAUCGCAUUACAACACAAAUAGAUGAAAACAGACACAUGGGCCUGUACAGAGUCCUCUCUCAUAUGCACAAUAAGCCAACCCUUGCUGAAAACAAGAUAGACGGGAGGGGAUGAAUCAGUGGCACACACAGGAUGCUUAGGGCAGAGGGACUGUUCUGAAAGACACAGUAAGUGCAGAUACAUGCCAUUCUAUACUUGCCCCCCACAAAACAUAGCACCAAACACAGACCCUAAUGUAAGGGACUGAGCCUGAGUGAUAAUGGUAUGUGUGAGUGUAAGUUAACAGAUCCUUAAACCAAUGUCUCACCCUGGUGGGAUGUUAACGGUCAGGGAGGAGGGCAUAUGUAAAGACAGGAGGUACAUGGGAGUUGCCUGCAUCUCUAUUCCAUUUUGCCGUGCCAUAAUCAACAAAAUUUAUUUUUUAGUAUGGUUGGUGUGUGUGUGUGUGUGUG
Molecule: non-coding RNA, 16431 nt
Organism: Cricetulus griseus (Chinese hamster)
Lineage: Eukaryota; Metazoa; Chordata; Mammalia; Rodentia; Cricetidae
Source: RefSeq, a predicted model, not a curated record